GGAGGUGUCUGGGCACCUGGUGGUCCCCUCGGUCUUCAAAACCGGUGAGACCGAGCAUCUCGGUCUGGCGGGUUCGAUUCCCGUCCACCUCCGCCA
RNAcentral lists this transfer RNA (96 nucleotides) under Terrabacter sp. Soil811. RNAcentral's name for it is "tRNA-Sec". It matches the Rfam family "Selenocysteine transfer RNA". The record is from RNAcentral. Lineage: Bacteria; Bacillati; Actinomycetota; Actinomycetes; Micrococcales; Intrasporangiaceae. RNAcentral also lists the same sequence under 1 other name.